CUCCUACGGGAGGCAGCAGUGAGGAAUAUUGGUCAAUGGGCGAGAGCCUGAACCAGCCAAGCCGCGUGAGGGAAGAAGGCGCUCAGCGUCGUAAACCUCUUUAGCCGGGGGACAAAACCUCCUCGCGAAGGAGGCUUGAGAGUACCCGGAGAAUAAGCAUCGGCUAACUCCGUGCCAGCAGCCGCGGUAAUACGGAGGAUGCGAGCGUUAUCCGGAUUUAUUGGGUUUAAAGGGUGCGCAGGCGGACAUUCAAGUCUGCGGUCAAAUUCCGGGGCUCAACCCCGGCCAGCCGUGGAAACUGAAUGACUUGAGUGGGCGAGAGGUAUGCGGAAUGCGCGGUGUAGCGGUGAAAUGCUUAGAGAUCGCGCAGAACUCCGAUUGCGAAGGCAGCAUACCGGCGCCUUACUGACGCUCAGGCACGAAAGCGUGGGGAUCGAACAGGAUUAGAUACCCUGGUAGUCCACGCAGUAAACGAUGAAUNCUGGUUGUUCGGGCCGACUGAGGCCUGAGUAACGUAGUAGGGCGUUAAGC
Molecule: ribosomal RNA, 531 nt
Filed under: uncultured bacterium
Lineage: Bacteria
Description: bacterial SSU rRNA
Rfam family: Bacterial small subunit ribosomal RNA
Source: RNAcentral